This is a long non-coding RNA of Amphiprion ocellaris (clown anemonefish), 1576 nucleotides long. The record is from Ensembl. Lineage: Eukaryota; Metazoa; Chordata; Actinopteri; Pomacentridae.
CGGGAUCUGCAGCGACUUUGCGCAUGCGCGAUUCAUCUGCUGUCUGUACACGGAGCGAUGUGGGUCUGCUCUAAUCAGUGGGACUGCUGUGUAUAUGUCUAUGUGCUGCAGGUUACUGGACUGACCGCCUGUGUUUUGUGAAGGGGAGGAGCUCACAGCAGCAUCUGCUGCUCGUUGAGGACAGUAACUGCAGAACGAUCCGAGCUUUCAUUUCAGAGUCUCCAAAACACCAGAAAAAGUCGCUAGAUUUGUCACUAGUUGCUUUUGUCAAAAAAAAAAAAAAAAAAAAAAACGUGGCCUGGAGGUUUUGGAAAGUCGCUAAGUUGCAACACUGGCAUGUUCGUGCAGAGCUCUCCUCUGUUCCUUGUCAAGCUCAGUUUGUUUGCCAGCUCCGAGAAAAACCAGUUUCUGUGUUUUCAAGCUGUUCAGCAUCAACAGAUCGUGAAGAGACAGAAGCAGAAUUAUUCCAUCAUGAAUGUUUAAUUCUGUCAUGGAGUCCUGGACCAGGUUUAUUCUCCUUCUCCUCGUGAUCAGAUUAUCUGAUGCUGAAGAAGAGCAGAAUAAUCUGACAGGAACUGAGGGAGGAAACAUCACUCUGCCUGAUCCUGUACUGGAGAGAGGAUAUCUGUUAUAUGAAGGAAAUGUUAUUGCUCAGGUGAUAAACAGAGUACUCAUCAUAGAUGAUGGCAUUUAUAUUAGCAGACUUCACUGGAACAAUAACUCUGGACUCUUCACAAUCACAGACCUGCAGAAGAGAGACUCUGGGAUUUAUAAAAUUGACUCUAAAAAAGGAGUAAUUUCUACUAAAUCUAUUUAUAGCCUCACAGUUUACGACUCUGUAGCGCUUCCUGCUGUCCAAACACUGAGUGUGAGCUCUGACAGCUGCUAUCUGCUGUGUGCUGUGGACAAAGCUGCAGAGAUCACACUGUGGUGGUACAAAGAUGAGGAGGUGGUGAACCAGAGCAGCUCUGCUGGACCUCUGCCUCUCACUGUGACCAAGCAGGACCUCAGCUCCUCUUACAGAUGUGUGGCUGGAAACCCUGCAGAAGAAAGGACUCUUCUAGUGGAUCUUCAGACGUUCUGUGGAGAGAACUUCACUGCAGUUCAGAACAACACAGAAUCAAGACAUCAUUGGAUCAUAAUAGCAGUCUCCAUUGGAUGUGUUGCACUUGCAAUUGUUCCACUCGCAUUUUUAAUCAAGUGGAAGUGCUUCAAGAGAAACGAGUGGACAGCCACAGAAAGACAAGAUCCUGAGGGCACAAAGUCAGACGCGGAGUACACUGAAGUAAACAUCUGUCCUGACAGACGCAGUCAGGGAGGAAAUUUACCGGAUUCACCAGGCUCUGUGGAUCGCUCCAAUCUGACGACAGUUUAUGACAAACUGGAGGCUCAUCGGAUGGUGCUGCCAGACUCGGAUGAAUCCUAGAGGAUCAUUAGAAGCUGGUGAUGAGGUUGAAGAGUCCAACAUGACAACAAUAAAAGAACUAGAGAAGCUGAAACUUCUCCAACAUUUCUGGAGUUUAAACGGGUUUGAUGAAGAAGUGAGCAGCAGGAACUGGAAAUGACAUUUUCUGGA